UCGUAACUGAGUUUGACCUGACACCCC
Molecule: non-coding RNA, 27 nt
Filed under: Rattus norvegicus (Norway rat)
Lineage: Eukaryota; Metazoa; Chordata; Mammalia; Rodentia; Muridae
Source: RNAcentral